GGUUCACAGCUGUGCGCAUUUGCGUUCACACACGCCCACACACUCACGCGCUCUUUCCCACUCACAUUUCACCCCCUAAAAAGCAACGAAGACCUCCCUCACCCCGACCCCUCCCCGAGAUACAACAUCGGUGCGCAGCCACCAGCGAAAGGCCGCGGCAUUCACAUCAAAUCCAUCACGCGAGUGGAUAUGUGAUGGAGCGCAGCGAAGCAAGCGAGAGAGAGGUGGGCAGAAAAGUGGUGCUCAUCGCUUCCUUUGUGUGUGUCUCUCUCUGCCGACUCCAUUCGCCCAACUGUUCCUUCCACCUUUAAGAGGAUGAGGAGGGGCAGUAUAAAUCCGCGAUGGGGGAGAGCUGCCGCAAGCAGCUUACUCACUGGGGGGGGGGUGGGACGCUGUGCACAUUGUGCAACGGGGCGUCUCCGCACACGGUCUUCAAGGCGGCCUCGGAUCUCACUCGUCGCCCUCCUUCCCUCGCCAACGUAAGCUUGAACUCUCUCCCACUCUUCUCUCUCCUACGUCUUUGUGUGCUGUCUUUCUUGCACCCACACAACGUGAACGCACCCUUGAACGCGCAG
This 575-nucleotide unclassified non-coding RNA is filed under the name Leishmania donovani. RNAcentral describes it as "gene:unknown". Lineage: Eukaryota; Euglenozoa; Kinetoplastea; Trypanosomatida; Trypanosomatidae. The record is from RNAcentral.